UACGGAGGGUGCGAGCGUUGUCCGGAAUCAUUGGGCGUAAAGAGCUCGUAGGCGGUCUGUCGCGUCGGCUGUGAAAACCCGGAGCUCAACUCCGGGCCUGCAGUCGAUACGGGCAGACUGGAGUUCGGCAGGGGGAGACUGGAAUUCCUGGUGUAGCGGUGAAAUGCGCAGAUAUCAGGAGGAACACCGGUGGCGAAGGCGGGUCUCUGG
RNAcentral lists this ribosomal RNA (210 nucleotides) under uncultured bacterium. RNAcentral describes it as "partial 16S ribosomal RNA". It matches the Rfam family "Bacterial small subunit ribosomal RNA", at positions 524 to 732 of the family's 1533-position model. The record is from RNAcentral.